CAGUCGCCGCGGUAAUACGUAGGUGGCAAGCGUUGUCUGGAAUUAUUGGGCGUAAAGGGCUCGCAGGCGGUUUCUUAAGUCUGAUGUGAAAGCCCCCGGCUCAACCGGGGAGGGUCAUUGGAAACUGGGAAACUUGAGUGCAGAAGAGGAGAGUGGAAUUCCACGUGUAGCGGUGAAAUGUGUAGAGAUGUGGAGGAACACCAGUGGCGAAGGCGACUCUCUGGUCUGUAACUGACGCUGAGGAGCGAAAGCGUGGGGAGCGAACAGGAUUAGAUACCCCUGUAGUCCCUGUCUCUUAUAU
Molecule: ribosomal RNA, 301 nt
Filed under: uncultured bacterium
Lineage: Bacteria
Description: partial 16S ribosomal RNA
Rfam family: Bacterial small subunit ribosomal RNA
Source: RNAcentral